AUUGAACGCUGGCGGCAGGCCUAACACAUGCAAGUCGAACGAGUGGCGGACGGGUGAGUAAUGUCUGGGAAACUGCCUGAUGGAGGGGGAUAACUACUGGAAACGGUAGCUAAUACCGCAUACCAUCGGAUGUGCCCAGAUGGGAUUAGCUAGUAGGUGGGGGAACGGCUCACCUAGGGGACGAUCCCUAGCGGGUGUGAGAGGGUGACCAGCCAACGUGGAACGGAGACACGGUCCAGACCCCUACGGGAGGCAGCAGUGGGGAAUAUUGCACAAUGGGCGAAAGCCUGAAGCAGCCAUGCCGCGUGUAUGAAGAAGGCCUUCGGGUUGUAAAGUACUUUCAGCGGGGAGGCGUUACCCGCAGAAGAAGCACCGGCUAACUCCGUGCCAGCAGCCGCGGUAAAC
This 405-nucleotide ribosomal RNA is filed under the name uncultured bacterium. RNAcentral's name for it is "partial 16S ribosomal RNA". It matches the Rfam family "Bacterial small subunit ribosomal RNA", at positions 29 to 525 of the family's 1533-position model. The record is from RNAcentral.